GCUCUUGUAUUGUCUUGUGUAGCACGCGGUUUGUUUCCACCUGCCGCGUGAUUUCAUAUUGUGUUUUUGUCUUGUGCUGUGUAGCACGCAGUCUGUUUCACGGGCUGUGUGCUCUCAUGUUGUCUUGUUUUGUGUGAACACGUGGCUUAUGGGUUCUCUCAUUAGCUGCGUGUUCAUGUCUCCUUUAGUGCUUGUGUUUUUGUUAUGUUUGGUGUGAGCACAUGGCUUGUCAUGUGUUUCUUUGUGCCAUGUGCUCUCAUGUCUAUUGUCUUGACCCCGCCCACCUUGUUACCUCAUUAUUGGUUCAUUUGCCCCACCUGUCCUCCCUCCUUACCUGCCUUGUUUGCUCUCCUAUUUAUUCUCCUUGUGUUUGCAGUCCUGUGCUGGUUCGUUGUCGUAUCUUUCCCUUUUGUGUGGUUCCCUCAAGUCUAUGUCAAGUCUGUUUUCCCCCCACGGGGUAGUUUUUGUUGUGUUGUUUUUUUUGUUUUUUUUAUUAUUGAUAAAAGCCUAUUUUCCAGCAAUUGAGUCCUCGCUCUCAUCCAUCAACCCAAUACCUGACAGUUGGAGCUCACGUAGAAUGAUAGCGCCAUGCAGCACAAGAUCACGACAAACUUAAUCUAUUCAAACUUCAUCGUUUAAAACCACAAAUAUUGUGAAUCACAGAAAGCAAGCAGUUCUGGAAGUUCUCCCUUUGUUUCUCCAUGAAGAUCCUUCUGCACUGUUCAGAAAAUGUCUGGACCACCCAAAUAUUACCCCAUCCCCCCCAUAGUUGACUGCUGUAUGAACUCCAUGACCUUGGGGUUAUGGAAUUUAAAUGGUGGUUGACCUUUGACAUGGGUUAUGAAUAUGUCCAUUGAUUCUCUGCAUUUUGAAAUAUCUGUGGUAUUGACCUGUGGGUCAUUUAUAGGGUGGAACAAAUGGAUGAUUUUUGAACUUUGACACCAUAUUUGAAGUCCUGAUGGUGAUUUAUGAACUUUCGGGGUCACGCAUGAGCAGAUGUGUGACGGCAUCCGCAUUCCGGCACAUGCUCUAAUCUUCCUGUGUAAGCAACAAAAAUAAGAUAUUAAUGAAGAAACAGCCGGAUCAAAAUGACAAAAUAAACAUGGUAUAUUUUAUAAAAUAGAAUACACAAACGCGCACACACACACACACACACACACACACACACACACACACACACACACACACACACACACACACACACACACACACACACACACACACUUCAAAAAGUGAAAAACAUUCACAUCUCCAAAAGAUUGUAACAUGCUGAAUAAUAAAAAACGGUUACUAAAUUUAAUGAGACUGAUUAUUAUAGUUAAAAAAAUAUAAAAACAUGGAAAAAGUUUUCCUCCAGCAAUGAUAUUUGAAUGGGUUAACAAUUGCUUUUAGUUUGAAAUAUAAAUUAAAAAUGUGUUCAUAUAAGUAAAAGAAUAUUUAUUUUAACAAUGUCAAUGCAAAAAGGGAAUUUGGACAUGUUCAGACAUGUUCCAUGUAAAACAUGCAUAAGACAUGGUUGUUUUUAUACUGGAUAUUCUCUCCCCUAAACACAUGUAUCGUAGUAAACGUUUUCAUUUUUAUAUUUUCAAAAAUAUAAUUUAGUAUAAUUUAAAAAGGUGUUUUGCAAAUAAGGGAAUACGUUUUGGU
This is a long non-coding RNA of Ctenopharyngodon idella (grass carp), 1647 nucleotides long. RefSeq lists it as uncharacterized. The transcript is spliced from 3 exons. Lineage: Eukaryota; Metazoa; Chordata; Actinopteri; Cypriniformes; Xenocyprididae. The record is from RefSeq and is a predicted model, not a curated record.